This 6090-nucleotide long non-coding RNA is filed under the name Chlamydomonas reinhardtii. RNAcentral's name for it is "long non-coding RNA (CREI_LNC001301)". The record is from RNAcentral. Lineage: Eukaryota; Viridiplantae; Chlorophyta; Chlorophyceae; Chlamydomonadales; Chlamydomonadaceae.
ACGCGCGCGUGGAGCUGGCUGCGGUCCUGCUCGAGGCAGCGUGCGCGCUCACCUGCCUGUCCUGGCACGGCGCCAAGGUGCCGGGCGGGUCGCCGCACCCGGCCGCGCUGCUGGCGGGGCGCGCGCUGGUGCCGCUGGUGAACCUCAGCCUGGCGUACGCGGCGGGAAGGUGGAGGCCGGGCGGACUGGGCACAGGCAGGCGAGGCGGCGGAAGCGCACUCGCCCUGGACAAGUGCAUCAGCAUGCGCGCCAGUGGCGCUGCAGGUGGCAGUAGCAGCAAGGGCAAGGGCAAGGGAAAGGACAUGGGAGCGGGCCCCGUGGAAGAGUGCGCAGGAGACGGCGACAAAAGCCUGGGCCUAAGCCUGAUGCCGCCAGCGGAGCAGGCUGUCAGGCAGGGCGCCGAGCCGUCUGGCAGCGGCUGCGGUGGCAGCAGCAGCAGCAGCCGCACAGAGCCGCAGCCACUGCCGGCACUGCCGCUGCCGGCGCCGAUGUUGGAGCGCAGCAGCGGUACCGUCACGGUGGCCGCGCCGCAGGCCGCUGGUCACCAGUCGCAGCCCUCGGCGCCUGCCGGCUCAUCGGUGCUGCGGCCGCAUAAGCCGUACCGCUCCUACCUCCGGGGCAGGACCAAGCACUACUUCAAGGUGGGGAUGAGGGUGUGAGGCAAACGGCUUCGUGUGGGAUAUACCGCUCCAGGGCAAGGCAUGUUGCUGCUGUCCGCCGAUUGCUUGCCUUCAUGCAGUUUAAGGAGCGUCGGGUUCUCCUGUCGCAGAUCCCCUGGGCCGAGCUGGAGGACAUCACGCCGGGCUUCGAGGAGCGGCUGGCGGCGCUGUGUGCGGCACGCGGCCGGGUGCUGACGGGCGUGUACGUGCGCGCAGGUGCGUGUGGGCAGUCGCGCAGGUGCAUUCCCGCACAUGAAAAGGGGCACAGGUGUUGUGCAGGCGGCAGUGCAGAUCUGACAGAACCGCCUUCUGUCCCCUUGGUUGCAAAUGCAGGGUGCAUCGAGCUUACCAUACACCUUGCUGAGUACGGCGCCGGAACCACUAGAGCCGGCGUGCAUGCUGGCCCUGCAGCAGCAGCCGGCGCGCUCUCGCACUCCGACGCGGCGGUCCUGAGCGUUGAGGAGGUGAUCGCCGCCCUGGGCCUGAGCCUGCCGAGCGGGCCCGCCGAUGCAGCCCUGCAGGCGGUGUCGGUGCAGCAGGAGCUGGUGGACAGGGCGGCAAGCGAGCCCGAGGCCAGCGGUGAUGGCGCCCGCAGCCAAGCGCGUGUGGUGCGCGUGUCGCCACGUGUGCUGCUGCUGACGCCUGCAGACGCGGCUGCCAGCUCGGCUGCAGCACUGCGCGUGCGUGUGGCUUUCGGUGGCAGCACUGGACCGGCCACAGCAUUCAACGUGGCGAUGCUGGGUGCUGCGGGUGUCCUGGCCACACGGGUCACGGCCAAGGAGCUGCAGGCUGCGUCAAAGGAGGGCGCUGAGGCCGGGUCUGAGGAGUGGGAGUAUGCCAUUGAGCUCCUGGAGGCGCCGCCGCACCCACAGCUGCUGACGGUGCAGCUCGCGUUCCCAGCAGCAGCGGCGGGGGCUGCGGCCGAGGACAGCGCUGCCGCAGCCACUCCCAGCCCGUACGUGCAGUGGCUGUCGGUGCCGGUGCUCGCGGUGGACGACGCCGCGGUAGCCGCCGAGCUGAGCGCAGCGCUGCAGCUGCUGCAGACCUCUGAGGCAGGCGCGGAGGUGGGCGCGGCGGCGGAGUGGGCCCACCCGCUGCUGUGCGACCUGGGUCUGUGGCUGGCGUCCGCCGCAGCCUCGGGCGCUGCCGGUUGCUCCGAGGCCGUGCGCCGCCUGCCUGCAGAGUGGGUGUCGGAGGUGGGCGCGUGCCUGCUUGCGUACACGGAGGGCGCGGGUCUGGUGGCCACCGCCGCCCGCAUCCGCGCGGACACACAGCGGCUAGCUGCCCUGCCAGCAGUCGCAGAGGCAAUUGCAGCCAAGGAGAGCCCACGGGUGGCCGAUGAUGACGCAGCAGUCGGCACGUGCCAACAUGCAGCAGCAAGCACCAGCGGCUCCGCUACUGCUGCCAUGGCUUGGCAGAAGCCCAACACUAAUGCAUUGCGCCAACGCUGCAAGGGCAGCAGUCGCGGCAAGUGCGCCAGCAAGGGCGCUGAAUGCGGUGGCAAGGAGGAGGAGAGCAGCAGCAGUGCUGGUGGCGGCAGCGACUGCAGCCCGGAUGGAUUGCAGCAGUACACACAGGCGUGGAUUGUGGCCAUGUGCUUCACCUGGUGAGUCCAGACUAGAAGAAUACGGUGCCUGUAUAUAUUGAUGGCAAGGGUACCUUUGUGAGCAUCAUCAGCUGCUUGGGAGUAUCUCCGCAGCCCGCGACCCGCAGUAACGCUCUGCCCCAUGGCACGGCCACCUGCAGCCAAAUCGUGGAGUGCCUGGUGGCCCUGGGCUUCGCUGUGCGGGGCGUGAGGGCCGGACAGCCGCUGUGGAGUGCUGAGAGCGCCGUGGUCUACACGGGACUCGGCGUUGGGGUCGUGACCACGCUAGCCGGGCUGUGGAUGACGCCGCGAGCCUGGUAGGUCGCAAGGUUCCGCUUGGGGCCUUGGGAUCAGUGGGUAAGAGCUAGGUGACGACCCUGGUGACGCAAGCAUGGAGCAGCCUAGUCUCUGAAAGCCUUAUGCAGCGGACUGCUGUAAAGUUCCUAUCCAUUUUGUGUCCAUCCACCAGGUCAAGGCUGGCGCUGGCUGCUCGGCUGCCUCGCUUCCUGGGCUUUAUGUUUGGCAAGGCACUGGUUUCGGUCGGCGCGCUGCCGCCACCCGCCGGAGCUGCUACGUACGGGAGCGGCCCCGGCAUUCUGCUGCUCGAGGGCGUCAUCCUGCCCAGCGGCUGCCUUCUGCCGCCGCGCACUGCCCUGGCGAUGAGCUGCCUGAAGCUGCCACUCAACAUAAUGUCAGGGCUGGUUGUGGGCGCAUUUGAAAACCUCUUGCCGGCGGUGCUGAUGGCGCUGGCAGUGGAGGCACUGGCGAUGGGCACCACCCUGGCAUGCCACGGCUACGUGCGCCGCCACUACAUGCGCCUGCGCUGGCAAUGAUUGUCCGCCGUGUGGCACCAACACUGCAGUGCAUGGCAGCCACUGUAUCCUAUAGGGGGACGUGCAUGUGCAUGAGGGGCGGGCCACUUACUGGUCAACGCUAUUACUGAUGGGGAUGGCUUGCUACUGAUACGCGCCCGUUUGCAGUGCUCCAUACUGGGCCAGCUCCUGUGUAGAUGAUGUUUUACCUCGGUGAUCUGCUGUUAUUUCUCAUGCCAUGCCAUGAGCGGGCACUGGUGCUUAACGCUGCUGUCCAUGCCCGCUGCUAGCAUGCACUGAUACAAUUGCUGCUGAAAUGGUUGCUGCUGAAUGUGAUCGCCCGCGCAUUGCAACUGCGGUGGUAUGUUCCUUGCGCGCCGACAAUGUUGUUCAGAUGGUGCCGUGCGCUUUCCUCCUUGCGCUUGGCGGUUGAAUGGAGCCUGUCAUCAACCCGGUGUUUGGCGAAAGCGGCACCCAGGCUGGGCAGGCAUCAGCCGUGCCCUGGCAAGAAGAAGGAAUGUCUGUUGGUGGCGCAUGCAGGGUGCCUGCUUGGGUUCAUGCUUGGGCGUGGAAGCUUGCGAAAGCUCAAGCGCUCAUAUUACGGCUGCAUAUAGCAGCUUCUAAUCGAUGGCCGAGGCGAGUAGCAGUGCAUGUAUUUGGACAGUGCUGGGCGCUGUUAUACUAGAUGCGCAGCCUGUCCGGUGCUGUGCGGUUGAAUGACAGCUAAGGUAGCCCCUUUCACCAAGUCUCAGAGUUUCGUGUGACCUGGGCAUCCGGUGACGCAGCGGCGGUGUUGGAAAGCAAGGGCGGAACCACAACGCCGGCACGUAAAGUCCAACGCGUUCCCUUCGAUGUCGCUGAGGGCAUGAACGGUACUUACGCACCGCAGAGCCAUUCAACGUACGGUUGGUUAAGGGAUGCGUUAGUUUGGAUGCAUUAGCACGAAACAGUCGAGUGCAACAAGAUGGGUUACACGCGAUCAUCCUGUGUAGCUGAUGAGCGGUUGUGUGCCAGGUGCCCGUGUCAUUUUACAGUGCCCUCCAUGGGUGCGACAUGGUGGUGGCAUGCAGUGGGCGCGGGGGCACCUGGGCGUGUCGGUGCGGGCAGUGGCGGUGCCGCACGCGGUCGCAAUGGAGGUCGAGGUGGCGAGGUAGCAGGGGCCGGGGCAGCAGGGGCGGUAGGGGCACAGGCAGGCGGACAUGGCAUGGAGAAAUGGCACCUUCAAGUUAGUUCGCACUGUCACGCAACUCUGCAAGACUCGGUCCUGGCGCCUUAGCACGAACGAUAUAUAGACUAGAUCCUUGUUAUCUAUAGGGAAGACGCGGCUGAAGAUGGCUCAGCGGGCUAAGACCGCGCAACAACGGGUCGGUGUGAGGUAAUUGCUGGUCACAUAACAGGGACCAGCUGUUUCUGCGCUGUUACUAAUAUUCAUUUAGGUUUAACCUACAGUAAACUUACCACCACGUAUGUAGGCAAGAGCGGCUAUGUUGACACGAAGCCGGGCUCAGGGCGCCCUGGAGGCCCUCAUGAUUCCUGUUCUUAUGGUUCCCCAAUGCUGGAUAACUCUCAUAGAGCACUCCGAAUGCACGAACUCGGGCGGUGGAGGGGCUGCAGCGAGAUGGGACAGCCUCCUCGUUUCCCGACUCCAACAUGACCGCUGGCCGUGUGAUGCAAGCGUGUUGAUGAAGCUAGGUCUGAUGCUGAGGUAUCUUCACUUGGUAUGGCUCGACGUCCUCACGCCGCGGUUGCGGGAACCAGUCCUAUUAGUCACGGCGACCCUGAACUUCCCGUUGCUGCUACUGCGAGCCUUGUCGGCCCGCGUCUUGCCGGCGCAGCUGUAUGAACAGGUGCGCUGGUUGAAGGCAGCGGGGUGGUCUGUGGGGCUGUGUGUGGGGCGGGGGCCGGCGGGGGGGGGGCCUGAAGCGGUAGCCACAUGAGGUCACCAGGGCCUGCCGAAUAAAAAGUGACCCCACAGCACCAGCCUUGACAGCUGCCGCCUGCAGCUGUCUUUGCAAGUCAGUCGCUUUUUUGGAUGGACCGGCAUGCGCCCUCGCAGUCACUCGCAGCGCCGUCAUUUCCAGGCGAGAGCCCGGGCGACACCGGCGCCCCACCCACGUGUGUGUCUGCUGCCUUGCCCCCCAACCCCCACGUGCCAAACCCCUCGCCCACAGGUCAUUUCCCCUCUGGUAGUGUACUGGUGUCGUACGACCGUGUACCUGGGCAUCAUCCUGGCAGGCCCGAACACGGUGAGUUGACGGCUGACCAGCCGUGCAGUCCGAGCCAGUCAUCAGGUCGGUCAGCCAGCCAGUCAGUCUUGACACCACCAACCCUACAGACCCGCUAGUGCCGUGACGGCACACGUGUCCCAUGGGCUCACGGGCCAGCGCGCAGCCCCCACCUGCGUCCGCCGGACCACUUGGCCCAGCAACGACUGACCGCCUGGCUCACCACACACGCCCCCGCACUCGCACACCUGGCUGCAGGCGCCCUCGAUGGUGGCCCAGGCCUACCUACAGCAGUCACAGGCGGUGGUGGCCUACCACAUCAUCAUGUUCGCAAGCCUGCUGGGAGCAUGGGUGAGAGGGGGGGUGGGAGGGAGGCGGGGGCCUGGGAGCGGGGGGGCGGUGGGGGCCUGGGGCCGCGUCAACAUGCCGGCCAGGCAUUGCUUCUUCUUCUUACCGUGCGUGGUGUGUUAGCACCGGCGUCGUUGCGCUUCGUGCCCCCUGGGUCUAACUGUGAUGUCGCUUCUGUGCCUUGGCAGGACGUGGACGCGCGCGUGGAGCUGGCUGCGGUCCUGCUCGAGGCAGCGUGCGCGCUCACCUGCCUGUCCUGGCACGGCGCCAAGGUGCCGGGCGGGUCGCCGCACCCGGCCGCGCUGCUGGCGGGGCGCGCGCUGGUGCCGGUGGUGAACCUCAGCCUGGCGUACGCGGCGGGAAGGUGGAGGCCGGGCGGACUGGGCACAGGCAGGCGAGGCGGCGGAAGCGCACUCGCCCUGGACAAGUGCAUCAGCAUGCGCGCCAGUGGCGCUGCGGGU